RNAcentral lists this long non-coding RNA (315 nucleotides) under Olea europaea (common olive). RNAcentral's name for it is "long non-coding RNA (OEUR_LNC013884)". Lineage: Eukaryota; Viridiplantae; Streptophyta; Magnoliopsida; Lamiales; Oleaceae. The record is from RNAcentral.
UUCGUUCUGGUUAGCUCUCGGUUGAUUUGGCUGUGGUAUUUGCUCAUGAAGCUGAACCUGAUGCUGUGGUUGAUUUUGGUUGUCAGCCAUUCUCCUUGCUUGACGUUGAACUCUUCUACGAUUUCUAAAUGUUCUUUCAAUUUCGUGGUCUAUUGGAAAGAGAUCUGGCUCGACAGGAUUUUGCAUAAACUAAAGUUGCCUAAAAAGUGUAAUGGUAGCCUAAAAACAACUAAAAAAAAUUAAAUGAAAAUAAAAACAAUAAAAGUAAAAAUAAAAACGAAUCUAAAAUAUCUAAUAACUAAAAUUAACACCGUU